This 488-nucleotide ribosomal RNA is filed under the name uncultured bacterium. RNAcentral describes it as "bacterial SSU rRNA". It matches the Rfam family "Bacterial small subunit ribosomal RNA", at positions 8 to 518 of the family's 1533-position model. The record is from RNAcentral.
AGAGUUUGAUCCUGGCUUAGGAUGAACGCUGGCGGCGUGCCUAAUACAUGCAAGUCGAACGGCAUCAGCAAUGAUGUAGUGGCGAACGGGUGAGUAACACGUUGGUGACCUGCCCCAAAGAUGGGAAUAUCACCUGGAAACGGGUGGCAAAACCGAAUAAGCUCGAGGGAGUUAGAGAGCCUUGAGUAAAAGCGCAAGCUACUUUGGGAGGGGCCUGCGGCCCAUCAGUUAGUUGGUGGGGUAACGGCUCACCAAGGCGACGAUCAGUAGCCGACCUGAGAGGGUGAUCGGCCACAUUGGAACUGAGACACGGUCCAAACUCCUACGGGAGGCAGCAGUGGGGAAUAUUGCACAAUGGGCGAAAGCCUGAUGCCAGCAACGCCGCGUGAACGAAGAAGGCUCUUGGGUCGUAAAGUUCUGUUCUGAGGGAAGAAGCAAGCGACGGUACCUCAGGAGAAAGCCCCGGCUAACUACGUGCCAGCAGCGGC